ACGGGUGAGUAAUGUCUGGGGAUCUGCCCGAUAGAGGGGGAUAACCACUGGAAACGGUGGCUAAUACCGCAUAACGUCGCAAGACCAAAGAGGGGGACCUUCGGGCCUCUCACUAUCGGAUGAACCCAGAUGGGAUUAGCUAGUAGGCGGGGUAAUGGCCCACCUAGGCGACGAUCCCUAGCUGGUCUGAGAGGAUGACCAGCCACACUGGAACUGAGACACGGUCCAGACUCCUACGGGAGGCAGCAGUGGGGAAUAUUGCACAAUGGGCGCAAGCCUGAUGCAGCCAUGCCGCGUGUAUGAAGAAGGCCUUCGGGUUGUAAAGUACUUUCAGCGGGGAGGAAGGCGAUGCGGUUAAUAACCGCGUCGAUUGACGUUACCCGCAUAAGAAGCACCGGCUAACUCCGUGCCAGCAGCCGCGGUAAUACGGAGGGUGCAAGCGUUAAUCGGAAUUACUGGGCGUAAAGCGCACGCAGGCGGUCUGUUAAGUCAGAUGUGAAAUCCCCGGGCUUAACCUGGGAACUGCAUUUGAAACUGGCAGGCUUGAGUCUUGUAGAGGGGGGUAGAAUUCCAGGUGU
RNAcentral lists this ribosomal RNA (578 nucleotides) under uncultured bacterium. RNAcentral describes it as "bacterial SSU rRNA". It matches the Rfam family "Bacterial small subunit ribosomal RNA", at positions 102 to 676 of the family's 1533-position model. The record is from RNAcentral.